GAUCAUGGCUCAGGAUGAACGCUGGCGGCGUGCCUAAUACAUGCAAGUAGAACGCUGAAGCUUGGUGCUUGCACCGAGCGGAUGAGUUGCGAACGGGUGAGUAACGCGUAGGUAACCUGCCUCUUAGCGGGGGAUAACUAUUGGAAACGAUAGCUAAUACCGCAUAAAAGUCGACAUUGCAUGAUGUUGACUUGGAAGGUGCAAUUGCAUCACUAAGAUAUGG
This 223-nucleotide ribosomal RNA is filed under the name uncultured bacterium. RNAcentral's name for it is "partial 16S ribosomal RNA". It matches the Rfam family "Bacterial small subunit ribosomal RNA", at positions 15 to 228 of the family's 1533-position model. The record is from RNAcentral.